UCCGUGCCCGUCACCGAACGGUCGGCAGGCGAUCCGCGUCGGUCGUGCGAGGUGGUAUGGUUCCCCAGAGGCCGGUUCUUGUGCUGCCUACCCCUUCAGGGGAAGCGGGCCACUUGAUGUAAGCCUCCGUCCGGCGCCUUCCAAUGGGCGCAGGAGGACAACAGAGCACCCCCCGCGUUCCACCGAGCCCUCUCGGUCGCGUGGCCCGCGGGGACGUGCGAUGCUCUCGGACCCAGCGAACGCCGUGGGCGAGGACUCACGUCCCAGUCCCGAAAAGAAGCUCCGAUGUAAUGCUGACGGCCGCUCCCGCCCCCCGACCGCCCCGGCGGCGCGGGGACGAGGCGCGGCGUCGCGGAGGAAUGCUACCU
RNAcentral lists this unclassified non-coding RNA (368 nucleotides) under Acacia barattensis. RNAcentral describes it as "partial external transcribed spacer". The record is from RNAcentral. Lineage: Eukaryota; Viridiplantae; Streptophyta; Magnoliopsida; Fabales; Fabaceae.